Molecule: ribosomal RNA, 433 nt
Filed under: uncultured bacterium
Lineage: Bacteria
Description: partial 16S ribosomal RNA
Rfam family: Bacterial small subunit ribosomal RNA
Source: RNAcentral
AACGAACGCUGGCGGCAUGCCUAACACAUGCAAGUCGAACGAGACCUCCGGGUCUAGUGGCGCAUGGGGGCGUAACGCGUGGGAACCUGCCCUUAUGUACGGAAUAACUCUCCGAAAGGGGUGCUAAUACCGGAAAAUGUCUUCGGACCCAAGAUAUAUCGAACUUGGAUGGGCCCGCGUUGGAUUCGCUUGUUGGUAGGGUAAAAGCCUACCACGGCGACGAUCCAUAGCUGGUUACAGAGGAUGGUCAGCCACUCUUAGACUAGGACACGGCCCAGACUCCUACGGGAGGCGGGAGUGGCUGAUAUAGGACCAUCGGCUGAGGCCUGAUCCACCUCUGCCGGGUGAGUGAUGUUGUCCUUAGGGUUGUAAAGCUCUUUUACCCGGGAUGGUAAUGACGGUACCGAGAGAAUAAGCUCCGGCUAACUCCGUG